Haliotis rubra (blacklip abalone) is the source of this 5179-nucleotide long non-coding RNA. RefSeq lists it as uncharacterized. The record is from RefSeq and is a predicted model, not a curated record. Lineage: Eukaryota; Metazoa; Mollusca; Gastropoda; Lepetellida; Haliotidae. The transcript is spliced from 2 exons.
UACAGACCGCUGCCAUAUAGCUGGAAUAUUGCUGAGUGUGGUGUAAAACUAAACUCACUCACUCACUCUUAAGGACCGUUGGUCUAGUGUCUGUUAUAAGUGUUGCUAUUGCCAUGGUCCAGGAUGCAGACCCCUAUGUUCAGAGACCUGUUUCUGUUAUUGACCAAGUCGCAUAGUUGGUAAUGACAGUAGCCUCCAGCAUGGGUGUGACGUGAUCGCAAGAUGGGGACGAGUGACCAUUUUCAACAACUGUUUGGCUUAGAAGAAAACCAGUCUUGGUUCUCAGGCUUUCUAUCAACAAAGCCAUUUUUAACUCACCUGACUGACAGUCAAGUGAGUUAUGUUAUGGCAGAUUGUCUAGUUGUUUGUCUGUUGUUAACAUUGACAUUAUGACAAAGGCUGAAUAAUCUGAAACAUGGUUUGAAUGAUUUUUGGAAUGGUUUCCUUAAAUAAUGCUGACUUGAAUUUAUGUGACUAAAGAAGAUGAGGUUUGACAUGCAGGCUACUUAAAUCCAGUUCCAUAGAAAGCUGUAAGCUUUGUGUAGUAUGAUAAUGACCAAGUUUGUUCAGUUCAUUGUUGAAUCCACUCAUUACAAUGUAGUGAAAGAUCUUUUAAAAAUCAUUCUUUACAUUUAUUGCUUGAGUCUUCUUCACCAAUUUUCCCUGUAAUUCUCUGUAGAUGUUUUUACUAACAUGAGGUUCAAGUGUCAUAAACUUAUUUCUAAAAUCAGGUGAGCUAUAGAGCCAUAUAUAGACAACAUUCUUCAGUCAGCUGUGGAAACAUGUCUCCUUCAAUGUUUUAGAACCAUAGUCUGAGAACCAGAUGGGGUAUUUUUUCAGCCUUGAUAUUUUACCUAGUGAGAGUAUUCCUGUUUGUGCAAUCGUCAUCUACAGACCAAGUCAACCUCAGGCGUUUAUGCCAUGUGACACGUCAUCAGAAAUAUGUUAUACAGUCCAACCAUGUUAACUUCAUUAACUCAGUGUAGCACAUGUGUCUUGUCAUGCUGGCAGAGUCCUUGUGUUUCACAGUGUUUUAUUACUGUCCCUCCGCUUGUUCCAAACUAGUGAUGUUUGUUCAGCACUUGGAGUUAUGGAGUAACAUUUGGAGAUAUAAUGAUGGCUGAAUGCUCCCUGAAGGACUGACCAUUUCAUAUCAGGGGUGGAGCAGCCUGGGAUUUUGUAUGGAAAGUGCAUAUUUUUUCUGGUACAUCUGCAAAACUAAACAUUUAUCAAAUUAAAACUAAGAUAUUUAGUGACAAGAAAACAUCAUGCAACACUGUAUUUUGUGGGUGACAGUUACUUUAACAGUAUAUAUGCAACAGUCUAAAGCAGAAGUAAUGUUUUCAAGUUUUAUUUGAUCAAGUUAAUUUUGGGGGGUGGGGAUAAAAUCUCAGGAUGGCCGCUACCCCCUAAUAUCUAAUAAUCAGCCCUUUAAACUUAAAGGGCCAGUAUGUCGACGGUUCUGUGUGUUUUGAAUUAAUGCAUGAAAUAAUUUCGUGAUUUUGUACUUUAAGUUCAUGUAAGAUUCAUUGCUCAAACCAAAACACUAGAGCUCCACACAGCAAGGCCAACAACCGAGGCACUGCGCAGUAUGACUGGUACAGGCCAUGAUUUUAUUAGACACAAAUUAAAGAGAAAGACCCUUUGUCCUACCAUAGUUACUUCAGGCCAGCCUUGUACGUAUGGCACAUCUUAGCAUCUUACCCAGUCCUUUUGAAAUGUGGCCUGUUUUCAUCUUAUUGACUUUCUUUGGGAAAAUAUCCUUAAAUGUGAAAAACUCUUCCUUUUUCCUUCUUAUCGUUUAUUUACAUUGGUUGUACAGCUCAACCUGUACUCUACAGAGCCACUGAUACAGUCACGUAGAUGCGUCAAGUUAUUUAGUCACGCUGCUCAGUGCUACUGUUGUAAUGGCAUAUCCAUACAAUUAUGCAAAACAAAAUUUAAAGGACACCAAAAUGCUUCCAUUUGGUCCAUCUGUUAUUAUUUAGCAACAUGUGUAUUCUUUACAAACAAGAAAAAGUUUGGUAAUGUGAAAAACCGUUACCGAUGGUCACUGGAGCAGAAUGUUCUGUUGCGGAAUUAGUCGAGCAGAGCCUUGUAGACUCCUAGGUUAUGGGUUACUGUGUACCAGUAAUGUUUCAGAACAGUCGAUGUACUGGUCGGUUUAGUCAACUAGAGGCACAAGUGUGAUACUGCAGAAUUGCACAACUUUGUGAUAUGAGAAGAUGUAGGUUUAGUUUUUGUAACAAGUUUUAUAAGCAUAUCAAGUUAGAAAGGGGAAGCUUGGGGAAUAAGCUUAUCACAAUUAUCCCAUAAAUCAUCAUACAUUACUAUCAGGACGAUGCAAGACUUACAUAGAAGCAUCACAGUAUGUGAUGAUGUCUGCAUUAAUAUGGCAGCAGUUUCAUCUUCAUGGACAUAUGGUCACACUUAGAGUUUCCACUUGUCUGCUACACAGUGGAUCUCCCACACAGCUGCUGGAAGGAUGGGAAAAGUGACAAGUAUGAGUUCUAUCGCUCGUAAACAAGUUUUACUUCCCUGAGUUUUACACCAGAAUCAGGUAGGAAUGUUACCACGUUAACUGACUAAUGUGAAUGUAGUUCCAUUUCCGUGGUUUCCAUGCCCUCUACAGAAGACUUAACGAUUGUCAUCUUAAUUAGUAUAUUUAUAUAUAUGUCAUUCAAAAAUGACACAUUGGGAGCUUCCUAUAGGAAGAUAAUGCAUUGUACUUACUGCAAUGUGUUGCUAACAGCUUUAACCUUCUGUAGUCUGAAGUAAAACUUACUGUCAUAUUGAGUUGUUGAUUGAUAAUUUUACAUGACAGUAACAGGAAAGAUUGUUUAAUGUCUGGCUAGCCAUUUUGUAUUUUUCAGAAUUUGUCAUCAGUCUACUUUCAACAAUUCACAUCUGUUGUCAGAACACUACUUAGCAAAGCAUGGACGUGGUAGGAAAGCUGACAAGUAUUAUGCAGAGUUAAGUUUUGACUUAUCAGUACUUGCAAUGUUUAGGAGCAGUUUUUGUUAUGUGUACUACUUAAUUUAUUAUCUUUGUUCGGUUGUGUUAGUGUUUGCUAUUCCAUAUAUGUAAUGUUGAUGUACUUUCAUCGGGCCUUUUACUCUUGUUUUUCUAGCUUAGCUAGAAGGGUUUCUUUCUUUGAGAUAUUCAGUUGUCGGUUCAAAACUGACCAACCACAGUUUGCCUGAUACACAUGCUAUGUACGGAUAUUUAAAUGAUUACCACCAUUUUCAGGAGGAAGAUGCUUCUAGUUCCGAUUACGAGGCAAUCAGAUUAACUUUUUUAGGUAACAGUUGUCCUAUUUAUAGACAAACAUAUGUAACUUUUAGAUCAAAUUUGGUUAAAUAGAGGAUAUACUCACAUUAAGGAAAAUUAAACAAUAUCAGUAAGAUUUCCAUUAUUGAUUAACUAUAUCUACCAUAUUUCCUCAAUUAUGUGCAGAUGUCUUGAGUAAACACCGUGCGUUUAUUAAUGACAUGUAGUUUAUAUGCAUGGAUAUCUCCCCAUUAUUAUUUUUGUGACUAAACACAAGUUGCAAAGAGUGUAUGGAAGAAAUAUGUACCAGGGUGUUUAAUCGAGGAAAUAUGGUAUGUGUGGAUUGAAGUUUUGCAUAAGGGAAGGUUGUAUUUCAACUUUGAGUGAGAUGUUAUUUCAUAAGCCGUUUAUGACAAAUAACUUAUUUUGUUGAGUUUCAAACUCCACAUAAACUCUUGAAGGGGGAUGGCAAUUUUCUACUGAUCCAUGGAUUUCCGCCAAUUUUAUUUCAAAUUGAUCAUUCUGAUGACACAAUAUUAACUUUUCAGCUGAAAAUAGAUUUUCCUGUUGCCAUCCCUGCUUUCACAAUCAGUAAGUACUGCAGUUAUGAGACGUUUCAUGCUUACUGCAUUCAAAAUGCUGGUGUGUAUUUAUUAUUAUUAUUUUUUUCCCAGACCAUGAGAUUUGUUUAAGGUAAUCUGAACUAGUAUCUGUUUCUUGCACCUCGCCAUAUACAUCUCCAUGUAUAAGAGAUAGUGUUUGUUGAUAGAGUGGCCAGCAUAUCAUUGCCAGUGAAGUUUGUCACUGACUAUAAGAAUCAGGGACCCAUUUCAUGAAGCCAUCAUAGCGCCACAACCAUGUAGUUCAUCUAAAUAAACUCGUAUUCCAGCCAAGGCCUACAUCGAGCAUACCUUGGUAAGGUGCAAAGACGUCUAGUUAUAUGCUGGACUACACAACUGAGUAAUUUUACUUCAUCAUUGACUGACAAUCUACUUAUGAGGAAUGUCUACCCGGCCAACUUGGACACUCACACCAUUAUUUCUCACAUAUUUACAGGCAAGUCAGGCUGAUGCUCUUUCCAAAUCAGCUGACCCUGUCAUUUUAGAAGUGUUUAGGGUCUGGUUAGAGAAUAUGAUUGUUUGAGUCCUCAUAUUAGUAAGUAUUUAUAGUUAUGACAAUUUUCCGCUGAUCCACCUAUUUCUGCAGAUUUUAUUUCAAAUUGUUUAAUUUCGGGGUGGGGGGGUGCUCUUCGAUGGCACAAUAUUAAGUUUUCAGUUGAAAAUAGAUUUUCUUGUUGCCAUCCCUGUAUUCAUGAAACCGGACUCAAGUUAUAUCAAAAAUACAGAUCACAAUGUUACUUGGAAUGAUUUUUCUUUAUUUCAAAAAGCUCAUGUCAUCUUAUUGGAUAAGAACAUCUUUAAAAUGAAAUGAAUAUUUGUCUGAAGAGUCCAUUAGUGACCUAGGGCCACAUUUAACCAGGUGAAUGCAGUACUCAGGCCAUUGUAACUCCCAUACUUUACCACAGACUUACAACAGUCUUAGCUCUACGAUAGCUGUUUGGAUUGGGACCGAGGUCUCUUUGUGUGUGUGGUGUGAGUUCCCAAGAUGUCAAGAUGAUCCAUUCAUUCAAUUGUCUCAUGACGUGAUGAUAGUAAUAGGCAGCUCUGAACUUGAAGAACAAAAUCAGACCUAUGCAAGUCAGUGGCGAAAUAUCUGACCUAUAUUGAUCAGGAACUUAUUCACAAUGUAUUCUCAGCAUUCACUCCAUCGUAAUUCUGUUACCGAGGAUCAUAGUAGUCGUAGUGCUACCAUCCCCUCUUAAAGCAGGGUCAUAGUAGAUUUGUGUGGUAGUGUGUCAAUGGGCGAUAACACAACAUUACUACCAUUUGUCUGGUCUUGCAGCAGUGUA